CUCAAGCUACCUCUCUGCACCUCUCUUUUACCUUCUCUCCGACUUUAAACUCUCUCUUGGUGUGUAAAAAAAAUAUACCCUCCUUUUUUCCCCCCUUUUAACAUUCCAGCUCCAAUACAUCUCACACUCUUAUUCUCUUUCCCUGUCAAAAAAUUAUCAUCAUUACUUUCUCCAAUGACCCUUAGUCUUUUCAAGUGCUUUUUCCUCUCCUAAUAUUUCUCUUCAUUUUCUCUCUCUCUCUCUCUCUCUAUCUUCUUCGCACUCGUUUGUCUUUCUUCGACACUUGCUCACUCUGCCUCGAUGUAGCUUUCCCCUAUUUGUGUGUGAACACCUCUUUACAGCUCAGUAAACACAAGUAGCUUCACUUGAGUUAUGGCAAACUGAUUGCUCCGAUCUGGUCACACCAACCUGGGAGGAACCUGAUGUGCCAAGUGCUGGAACCAGUCAUCACCAAGCACCAAGUCCCUGGCUCACUCUUGAGAUUGGAAUGCGCUGAAAACAUUCCCAUUAAAUAUAGUUCAGACGUGAAUCUAAGCUAAGAUAUCCCAGUUUACAAUCGUUGAAUUCUUUUAAGGGAGUUUGUGGGGGAGGAGAGAAAGAGGGCUGCAGCCAGGGAUACAGGUUAGGAGGAAGGUACCUGAACCGAGUCACAAUUUGGUCAUCUCCGAAGGAACAACAGCAACCACUUGCAUUUACGUAGAGGAGCCCUACACACCGGAC
Long non-coding RNA from Callorhinchus milii (elephant shark), 720 nucleotides. RefSeq lists it as uncharacterized. The transcript has 3 exons. The record is from RefSeq and is a predicted model, not a curated record. NCBI's taxonomy places the organism in Eukaryota, Metazoa, Chordata, Chondrichthyes, Chimaeriformes, Callorhinchidae.